UACUCCUACGGGAGGCAGCAGUGGGGAAUAUUGCACAAUGGGCGCAAGCCUGAUGCAGCCAUGCCGCGUGUGUGAAGAAGGCCUUCGGGUUGUAAAGCACUUUCAGCGGGGAGGAAGGCGUUAAGGUUAAUAACCUUGGCGAUUGACGUUACCCGCAGAAGAAGCACCGGCUAACUCCGUGCCAGCAGCCGCGGUAAUAA
RNAcentral lists this ribosomal RNA (200 nucleotides) under uncultured Klebsiella sp. RNAcentral's name for it is "partial 16S ribosomal RNA". It matches the Rfam family "Bacterial small subunit ribosomal RNA", at positions 334 to 526 of the family's 1533-position model. The record is from RNAcentral. Lineage: Bacteria; Pseudomonadati; Pseudomonadota; Gammaproteobacteria; Enterobacterales; Enterobacteriaceae.